AGAGUUUGAUCCUGGCUCAGAACGAACGCUGGCGGCAGGCCUAACACAUGCAAGUCGAACGCGACCUUCGGGUCGAGUGGCGCACGGGUGAGUAACGCGUGGGAAUCUGCCCUAUGGUACGGAAUAACAUCGGGAAACUGGUGCUAAUACCGUAUAUCCCCUGAGGGGGAAAGAUUUAUCGCCAUGGGAGGAGCCCGCGUAGGAUUAGCUAGUUGGUGGGGUAACGGCCUACCAAGGCGACGAUCCUUAGCUGGUCUGAGAGGAUGAUCAGCCACACUGGGACUGAGACACGGCCCAGACUCCUACGGGAGGCAGCAGUGGGGAAUAUUGGACAAUGGGGGAAACCCUGAUCCAGCCAUGCCGCGUGUGUGAUGAAGGCCUUCGGGUUGUAAAGCACUUUCGCACGUGACGAUGAUGACGGUAACGUGAGAAGAAGCCCCGGCUAACUUCGUGCCAGCAGCCGCGGUAAUACGAAGGGGGCAAGCGUUGUUCGGAAUUACUGGGCGUAAAGGGCGCGUAGGCGGUGCUCUAAGUCAGGCGUGAAAAGCCCUGGGGCUCAACCCGGGGAAUUGCGCUUGAUACUGGAGCGCUUGAAUCCAGGAGAGGUUGGUGGAAUUCCCAGUGUAGAGGUGAAAUUCGUAGAGAUUGGGAAGAACACCGGUGGCGAAGGCGGCCAACUGGACUGGUAUUGACGCUGAGGCGCGAAAGCGUGGGGAGCAAACAGGAUUAGAUACCCUAGUAGUCC
This 745-nucleotide ribosomal RNA is filed under the name uncultured bacterium. RNAcentral's name for it is "bacterial SSU rRNA". It matches the Rfam family "Bacterial small subunit ribosomal RNA", at positions 8 to 796 of the family's 1533-position model. The record is from RNAcentral.